Molecule: long non-coding RNA, 632 nt
Organism: Coregonus clupeaformis (lake whitefish)
Lineage: Eukaryota; Metazoa; Chordata; Actinopteri; Salmoniformes; Salmonidae
Exons: 3
Source: RefSeq, a predicted model, not a curated record
UGAUCUGUCCUUUCUAUCCUGCGGAGCCCUCCGCUAAAGGAUUCGGGACUGGUGAACCUCUGUCAGGUCACUAUGGAGUUCCCACUCUGUUUGCUUGCUGUGUAUUUUCUUAGAAGAGGAGAAGAGGAGGAGGAAAGGAGAUGAAAAGCCUGCUCCCAAGGGCAGGUCACUAGGUCCCUGGCCGUGUCCUGGGGGGUGUGUUGGGAGUCUGUCCCCUAGCAGGUACUGACCCUCAGCAUGACCUCUUAGGACCUGGUCAGUCGGGCCUGGUGAGCAGAGCCAGGAGCUGCAGAUUAUUUUGAUCCGCAGCGACCUUGACGCACCGACGAACCCAAGCACCAGACACCCGAAGACACCUGAGACGACUAGAUGAAGCUCAUCCGAAGCACAAAGCUUAUAUUACUUACCUGAAUACUUACACGAAAUGUACCCUAGAAUGCCGCCAGAUGAAGAACCAUUCUUUUCUUUCUUUUGGUUGGCUUCUGGUUGUCUGCGUUGCUUGGUUUCGGCGGGUCAUGGGGGGCCUGCUGAAGAAAACGCAUUCCCAAAUACACUACAAUGCUGAACGCAUGAUUUACAUGAAAAUGUUUAAAAAAUGAACAUAAAAAUGGAAAAAACAUUUGCAACAUGAA